GAACGGACGGGUGGGCGGAUGGGUGGGUGGGGGGGGUGGAUGGAUGGCCGGACGGAGGGAUGGACGGAUUUCCCAACCGGCUCAGCAGGCUGCCCCCGCCUAACGCUGCCCGCGCUUCCGGCCCUCACCGUCUCUUACCCGUCUUUUUCCUGCUGUUUCUCCCCAGCCCCGGCUCCCUCCUCCCUCAGUUAUAAAGAUCCCCUCGGACCUUGCCCAGACAGACCCCCAAAACGGUAUCCACUGUAUCGCCAGAAAGAGAUCUUCCAGUUGGAGUUACCCUCUCUGAUUUCUCCCCCAGUGACUCCGACCAGGACCACAGCAUCACCCUGCACCUGAAGAUCUCCUGCCCGUCCUCCCCCGCCUUCAGCCACCCCCGGAGCCCCGGCCGCGCCGCGCCGCACGUGAGGAUCGAAGUGGAGUCCGACUACAACGACGCGGACUUGGAGAAGCGUCCCAGGGACCUGGGCGGCGAGACCACCCUGUAGCCGCGCGCGCCCGGGCUUCCCGCCCGCCGACCAGGAGGCGCGCGCAUGCGCGCUUUCCCUCGGCCCCUCCACCCCGCGUGACGCAUGCGCACACAGGCUCUCCCCGCGCUCUUGCCCUAACCCACCGCGAGGCCUGCGCAUACGCCCUUUCUUCCCGUCCACCUGUCACAGUGUGAGGCAUACGUGCUUCUCCUCCCAACCUCCCAGCGUGUGCGCAUGCAUGCUUUCCCUCCCCCGCAACCUUCCCAGCAGGGAGCAUGCGCACACACGCUUUCCCUCUUCCCACCUCUCAGCAUGGGACAUGCGCACACACGGUCCCCCAAUCUCCCAGCGUGGAGCAUGCGCACAUACGCUUUCCCUCUUCCCGCCUCCCAGCGUGGAGCAUGCGCACACACGCUCUC
Ornithorhynchus anatinus (platypus) is the source of this 886-nucleotide long non-coding RNA. RefSeq lists it as uncharacterized. The transcript has 3 exons. Lineage: Eukaryota; Metazoa; Chordata; Mammalia; Monotremata; Ornithorhynchidae. The record is from RefSeq and is a predicted model, not a curated record.